This is a long non-coding RNA of Dreissena polymorpha, 1457 nucleotides long. RefSeq lists it as uncharacterized. The record is from RefSeq and is a predicted model, not a curated record. The transcript has 4 exons. NCBI's taxonomy places the organism in Eukaryota, Metazoa, Mollusca, Bivalvia, Myida, Dreissenidae.
AAAACCAAUACGAGAACAUGCACAAUAUGAAUUACAUUACCCAAAAUUUUAAAAUUUAUCUAAAAUAUGAAAAUACCACGAUAAAUUUCUCAUUAUUUAGUAUUCAUUCUAUGAGUAUUUACCGUUAAUUGUGUUUUUAAUAGUAAGAGACGGAGGUUAUAACAACCUGGCCGAAGGACACACAAUCCGCGCUGGAUGGGGCGAAACGCAUCCAGAAAACUGGAGGCCCGAGCAUGUACGAGACUGGGUGACGUUUGUAGCUGAAAAAUACACAUUUCCCGUCGAGCUUCAAGGGAGAAUACUAGACUUAGUACAGGGCUUCACUGGAGCAGAGUUACUUUCCCUGAGUCUUACGGAUUUUCGAAGCCGGUUCGGUCAGGUGGGCGAGAUCGUGUUCACAGCAUUACAACAGAUCUUGGACAUUUCACCAGAAUAUGAAGAGCGUGCGGCUGUGUACAGAGAACGGAUUAUAUCGCUACUCAACCAGAAGCAAGCAACCCCGCCUCCAAUGUGGAGAAUACUUGACGUCACGCAGUGGUCCACCGCCGAGAUUACCGAUUGGCUUAUGUGUGCCGUGAAUGAUCUUAAUAUAGAAACAGAGUCACGUGAUUUGCUCCUGGGGAAGUUGGCGUCUUGGACCGGACAUGACGUGAAUUUAUUGAGCAGAUCUGACUUUGAGACAUUAAGUCGACGUUACGGACCAUCUUUGUUUCAGCAUUUGCGCCGAUUUGCACCUUGUGGUAAAAGACGAAGAUUGUCUGAAUAAGAAAAGAGGGCAACCUGAUGAAAUCGAUCUGUUAUACACAAGUGGCUGCAACAUCAAGUGAAAUAACAUUUACUUUUUUGUGCGAAUGGCGUCAUAAUGAGCAACAAGAAAAACAAAAAAUACACUUGGGGUUAGAACUACAACUAACAAAUACAUCAAAAGUGUGCAGUACGAGUAGUAAACAACAGCUAUCGUGCAAACGAACAGCAGUAACUUUAAGUACGAUAUAUUGCACAAUCGUAUUCCUAUAAAUUUCAAAUGACGCUGAAUAACCAUUAACUUUUCAUCUUUUACAAACAUGUAUCGUUAAACAGUGAAAGGUUCAUUUAAUUGUUUUUACCAGACGUACUUGCUGCUUAAAUGCGCACAUUGCUACUGAAACAUUUACUUUACUUAAUCGUUGUUGUUGUUUGUUAAACAUUUUUAAUACUAAAUCGCAUAGCGACACAAUCCUUGCUUUCAUAGGUUCCUAAAUUUACGUGCCCUAAAUAAAUGUUGCCCUGUUGUUAAAUAAUGUAUUUUAAUUCUUAAUUUAUACAUAAAACAUUUUUUUAUGCAAGGCAGCAAGUGCACAAAUGUAUAUUAUAUACAUGUAAUUGCAAUUUGUGAACCCAUUUUUAUGCACAAAGUCGUUGUCUACAUACUUGUUCUUCUUGAUUGCUCUGGGCUUUUAUUAAAAAUACGUACAGGU